This 773-nucleotide ribosomal RNA is filed under the name uncultured bacterium. RNAcentral describes it as "bacterial SSU rRNA". It matches the Rfam family "Bacterial small subunit ribosomal RNA", at positions 8 to 798 of the family's 1533-position model. The record is from RNAcentral.
AGAGUUUGAUCAUGGCUCAGGACGAACGCUGGCGGCGUGCUUAACACAUGCAAGUCGAACGGAAAGGCCCUUCGGGGUACUCGAGUGGCGAACGGGUGAGUAACACGUGGGUGAUCUGCCCUGCACUUUGGGAUAAGCCUGGGAAACUGGGUCUAAUACCGAAUAGGACCGCGCUCUUCAUGGGGUGUGGUGGAAAGCUUUUGCGGUGUGGGAUGGGCCCGCGGCCUAUCAGCUUGUUGGUGGGGUAAUGGCCUACCAAGGCGACGACGGGUAGCCGGCCUGAGAGGGUGACCGGCCACACUGGGACUGAGAUACGGCCCAGACUCCUACGGGAGGCAGCAGUGGGGAAUAUUGCACAAUGGGCGCAAGCCUGAUGCAGCGACGCCGCGUGAGGGAUGACGGCCUUCGGGUUGUAAACCUCUUUCAGUAGGGACGAAGCGAAAGUGACGGUACCUACAGAAGAAGGACCGGCCAACUACGUGCCAGCAGCCGCGGUAAUACGUAGGGUCCGAGCGUUGUCCGGAAUUACUGGGCGUAAAGAGCUCGUAGGUGGUUUGUCGCGUUGUUCGUGAAAACUCACAGCUUAACUGUGGGCGUGCGGGCGAUACGGGCAGACUAGAGUACUGCAGGGGAGACUGGAAUUCCUGGUGUAGCGGUGGAAUGCGCAGAUAUCAGGAGGAACACCGGUGGCGAAGGCGGGUCUCUGGGCAGUAACUGACGCUGAGGAGCGAAAGCGUGGGUAGCGAACAGGAUUAGAUACCCCGGUAGUCCAA